CCCUACGGGGGGCAGCAGUAGGGAAUAUUGCUCAAUGGGGGAAACCCUGAAGCAGCAACGCCGCGUGUAGGAAGACGGUCCUCUGGAUUGUAAACUACUGUCCCCAGGGACGAAGAUGACGGUACCUGGGGAGGAAGCUCCGGCUAACUACGUGCCAGCAGCCGCGGUAAUACGUAGGGAGCGAGCGUUGUCCGGAAUUACUGGGUGUAAAGGGAGCGUAGGCGGGGAUGCAAGUUGGGUGUUAAAUCUACCGGCUCAACUGGUAGUCGCACUCAAAACUGCAGCUCUUGAGUGAAGUAGAGGCG
Molecule: ribosomal RNA, 305 nt
Filed under: uncultured bacterium
Lineage: Bacteria
Description: bacterial SSU rRNA
Rfam family: Bacterial small subunit ribosomal RNA
Source: RNAcentral